AGAGUUUGAUCAUGGCUCAGAUUGAACGCUGGCGGCAGGCUUAACACAUGCAAGUCGAGCGGAAACGAUGGUAGCUUGCUACCAGGCGUCGAGCGGCGGACGGGUGAGUAAUACUUAGGAAUCUACCUAGUAGUGGGGGAUAGCACGGGGAAACUCGUAUUAAUACCGCAUACGACCUACGGGAGAAAGGGGGCAGUUUACUGCUCUCGCUAUUAGAUGAGCCUAAGUCGGAUUAGCUAGAUGGUGGGGUAAAGGCCUACCAUGGCGACGAUCUGUAGCUGGUCUGAGAGGAUGAUCAGCCACACCGGGACUGAGACACGGCCCGGACUCCUACGGGAGGCAGCAGUGGGGAAUAUUGGACAAUGGGGGAAACCCUGAUCCAGCCAUGCCGCGUGUGUGAAGAAGGCCUUUUGGUUGUAAAGCACUUUAAGCAGUGAAGAAGACUCUUCGGUUAAUACCCGGAGACGAUGACAUUAGCUGCAGAAUAAGCACCGGCUAACUCUGUGCCAGCAGCCGCGGUAAUACAGAGGGUGCAAGCGUUAAUCGGAAUUACUGGGCGUAAAGCGAGCGUAAGUGGCUUGA
This 582-nucleotide ribosomal RNA is filed under the name uncultured bacterium. RNAcentral describes it as "bacterial SSU rRNA". It matches the Rfam family "Bacterial small subunit ribosomal RNA", at positions 8 to 583 of the family's 1533-position model. The record is from RNAcentral.